RNAcentral lists this ribosomal RNA (253 nucleotides) under uncultured Bacteroides sp. RNAcentral's name for it is "partial 16S ribosomal RNA". It matches the Rfam family "Bacterial small subunit ribosomal RNA", at positions 524 to 776 of the family's 1533-position model. Lineage: Bacteria; Pseudomonadati; Bacteroidota; Bacteroidia; Bacteroidales; Bacteroidaceae. The record is from RNAcentral.
UACGGAGGAUCCGAGCGUUAUCCGGAUUUAUUGGGUUUAAAGGGAGCGUAGGCCGGCUUUUAAGUCAGCUGUGAAAGUCCGCGGCUCAACCGUGGAAUUGCAGUUGAAACUGGCAGUCUUGAGUACAGUAGAGGUGGGCGGAAUUCGUGGUGUAGCGGUGAAAUGCUUAGAUAUCACGAAGAACCCCGAUUGCGAAGGCAGCAUACCGGCGCUCAACUGACGCUGAGGCACGAAAGUGCGGGUAUCGAACAGG